AGACCCGAAACCCGGUGAUCUAGCCAUGGGCAGGUUGAAGGUUGGGUAACACUAACUGGAGGACCGAACCGACUAAUGUUGAAAAAUUAGCGGAUGACCUGUGGCUGGGGGUGAAAGGCCAAUCAAACCGGGAGAUAGCUGGUUCUCCCCGAAAGCUAUUUAGGUAGCGCCUCGUGAAUUCAUCUCCGGGGGUAGAGCACUGUUUCGGCUAGGGGGCCAUCCCGGCUUACCAACCCGAUGCAAACUGCGAAUACCGGAGAAUGUUAUCACGGGAGACACACGGCGGGUGCUAACGUCCGUCGUGAAGAGGGAAACAACCCAGACCGCCAGCUAAGGUCCCAAAGUCAUGGUUAAGUGGGAAACGAUGUGGGAAGGCCCAGACAGCCAGGAUGUUGGCUUAGAAGCAGCCAUCAUUUAAAGAAAGCGUAAUAGCUCACUGGUCGAGUCGGCCUGCGCGGAAGAUGUAACGGGGCUAAACCAUGCACCGAAGCUGCGGCAGCGACGCUGAUGCGUUGUUGGGUAGGGGAGCGUUCUGUAAGCCUGCGAAGGUGGCCUGUGAGGGUUGCUGGAGGUAUCAGAAGUGCGAAUGCUGACAUAAGUAACGAUAAAGCGGGUGAAAAGC
RNAcentral lists this ribosomal RNA (622 nucleotides) under Salmonella enterica. Its description in RNAcentral is "partial 23S ribosomal RNA". It matches the Rfam family "Bacterial large subunit ribosomal RNA", at positions 711 to 1329 of the family's 2925-position model. Lineage: Bacteria; Pseudomonadati; Pseudomonadota; Gammaproteobacteria; Enterobacterales; Enterobacteriaceae. The record is from RNAcentral.